GCUUUUCCGCCCCGGCUCUUCUUUUGUUGUCAAGUCCUUUUGAUAAAUGGUGGGGCUGGGAGCUCUGGGAGUCGGGAGCCAGUCUGUGCCCGCGUGGGGGGCGGGGGCCGAGCCUGGAGACCCGGUUUCGACCGGCGCGCACCUGGGGCUGAGCCGGGUGCGCGCGGGGGUCGGGUCUGGAACUGCCCUUGGUAUGCUCGCCCUCUCCUCUUGGCCCAUCUCACUCCCCUCCCCCACCUGACUCCCCUCCCCGGCUUCUUUCUCUGUCUCCCACUCCGCACGGGUACCGAGAACUUUCCGGGAAUCGACGGGAUUUCUCUGGCUGUCGUUUGCGCUGCAUUUAUCCGAAUACAUCCAGCUCGCAGGCAUCCUGCAAGAAACGGCUCCCGGCUCGCGUGUACGCCGACACCUCGGCCCAACGCAGGACUCGAGGUGGUUUCUAGUGCCCGGGUGGCUGCAAGUCUGCCCUCCGAGGGAGGCUGGACAAGCGGCGCCCCCAGGUCGAGCGGCCUCUCGCUGCCUGGCAGUGCCUGGCAGCCCCCACCUCUGCCAGUGCUUCGGAAACCCGCCUGGCCAGGUUCGCCCGCGGUGAAAAAUGAAAGCAAAUUCCCCAACAGAGGUAGCCGGAACUUUCCUCGACGAAGGCUCCCUCCUGCGCCUGUGUCUGGAGAACCCCCAGAGCGCUGCAAGUUAGCAAGAGAGAUUCGAUGGCGGCUCUGGAAGGCGCACGAAGGGUGGGGCGGGGGAGCAAAGAGGCCACUGGGUGACCCAGCCUGGUCCGGGGUGAAACGCUAGAGAAGGCGCCUCGCCUUCCUUAUUUCAAUGCAACUCCUCGGCCCCAGACGGUAAAAAUAGUUUCCAAGCUGCCGCGGACGCCCAGGAUGUGUUUGCAGAGAUCAAACUGGGGAGGAGGCAGCUUUGUAAAAGUUGCAGAAAGAUUAGCCGAGAAGCGUCCGCCCGGCGGGGCUCAAGAAAGCUUGGGGACAGCUCCAUGUUCCUUGGGGCGGAAUGGCCCAAGAAUUGGCCUGGGUAACCCCCUGCCCAGUUCUCUGUCCUCACUUCGAGCCAGUGCUUAAAUAACUUCCCGCCGCCUGCCCUGCAAACUUCCCGGCGCGGCGCCGUUGAGGCCAGGACACAGCAAAGGCUAGCAAAACCCCGCCGCGGCGCGCUCGGCCCCGGCCCUGAGAGGCUGCGCGGGUGGGAGGACCAGUGUGGUUUCUGCUCCCACUCGGCUGCCCAGACCCUCAAGACCGAUCCCCCAACUCCUGGGAGCGGGUGCUUCCCUCUGGGAGCCGAGAUCUUGCGGGGCCAGCGAGGGCGCAAAGUGCGCGCGCUGGCCCGCGCGGGGGCGGCCGCGCGUCUCUCCGCGGGGCCUGUCGCCAGGCCGGCCGCGGCGCGUGAGUGAUGAGGGCAGAGAAGGGCGCCCAUAAAUCGCGGGUGUCAGGGCGAAAAACUCUCUUUAUUGUCUGCGUGAUGGAUGGGCCCGGGGACGAGACACCAAAUACUUCGUAUCGCCUUUAAAUGGGAACACAUUUUCCGCGGCCAUAAUUCAUGUUUUUUAAAUAGAAAGUUUGAAAUGUUGCCUAUAUUUCACCAGCCCUGACAUAUUUAUGAAUCGCUCCCUGCAUGCAAAUAUCAUUACUUAAAGCGCCGGGGAGAGCGCGGGGGAGGGGAGGAGGCGCGGUUCCCGGGGCGUGGGGGUGGUGAACCGGGGAAAUAUCGGUGGAGGGGGGCCAUCUCCCUAAAGGGCAGAGGGUGAGGUGCGGUGAAUAGCCGUAUCCGGAAACCGAGCGUGCCCCGGGCUUCUUUCCCGCCGCCAGACCCCGCACAGCCGCCCUGGGACGUUUUUCGAGGCUUGGGACCUAAGACGGGUCCCCGGACCCUGCUGGGAAACCAGGGGGCGUUUUUCGUCCCUCUCUGAGGCCAUUAUCCAAGCUGAAACCACCUUUUAUAAGAAAAAAGUUUAAAGAAAAAAAAUUUAACAAACACAAAUAAUAAUAAUAACCCAACAUGUUUCGCGUUCUUUGCCAAAAAAAAAAAAAAAAA
This 2046-nucleotide long non-coding RNA is filed under the name Homo sapiens (human). Its description in RNAcentral is "ZNF503 antisense RNA 2 (ZNF503-AS2)". The record is from RNAcentral. Lineage: Eukaryota; Metazoa; Chordata; Mammalia; Primates; Hominidae.